GUGGUUGGUGUACAGGUGGUGCAUGGUUGUCGUCAGCUCGUGUCGUGAGAUGUUGGGUUAAGUCCCGCAACGAGCGCAACCCUUGUCUUAUGUUGCCAGCACGUGAUGGUGGGGACUCAUGAGAGACUGCCGGGGUUAACUCGGAGGAAGGUGGGGAUGACGUCAAAUCAUCAUGCCCCUUAUGUCCAGGGCUUCACACAUGCUACAAUGGUCGGUACAACGCGUUUGCGAGCCUGUGAGGGUGUGCUAAUCGCUGAAAGCCGGCCUUAGUUCGGAUUGGGGUCUGCAACUCGACCCCAUGAAGUCGGAGUCGCUAGUAAUCGCAGAUCAGCAACGCUGCGGUGAAUACGUUCCCGGGCCUUGUACACACCGCCCGUCACGUCAUGAAAGUUGGUAACACCCGAAGCCAGUGGCCUGUCAUGGGAGCUGUCGAAGGUGGGAUCGGCGAUUGGGACGAAGUCGUAACAAGGUAGCCGUACCGGAAGGUGCGGCUGGAUCACCUCCUUUCUAAGGAG
This 515-nucleotide ribosomal RNA is filed under the name Corynebacterium sp. HMSC034B08. RNAcentral's name for it is "bacterial SSU rRNA". It matches the Rfam family "Bacterial small subunit ribosomal RNA", at positions 1023 to 1533 of the family's 1533-position model. The record is from RNAcentral. Lineage: Bacteria; Bacillati; Actinomycetota; Actinomycetes; Mycobacteriales; Corynebacteriaceae.